This 1482-nucleotide ribosomal RNA is filed under the name Lactiplantibacillus plantarum. RNAcentral describes it as "partial 16S ribosomal RNA". It matches the Rfam family "Bacterial small subunit ribosomal RNA". The record is from RNAcentral. Lineage: Bacteria; Bacillati; Bacillota; Bacilli; Lactobacillales; Lactobacillaceae.
GUUUGAUCAUGGCUCAGGACGAACGCUGGCGGCGUGCCUAAUACAUGCAAGUCGAACGAACUCUGGUAUUGAUUGGUGCUUGCAUCAUGAUUUACAUUUGAGUGAGUGGCGAACUGGUGAGUAACACGUGGGAAACCUGCCCAGAAGCGGGGGAUAACACCUGGAAACAGAUGCUAAUACCGCAUAACAACUUGGACCGCAUGGUCCGAGCUUGAAAGAUGGCUUCGGCUAUCACUUUUGGAUGGUCCCGCGGCGUAUUAGCUAGAUGGUGGGGUAACGGCUCACCAUGGCAAUGAUACGUAGCCGACCUGAGAGGGUAAUCGGCCACAUUGGGACUGAGACACGGCCCAAACUCCUACGGGAGGCAGCAGUAGGGAAUCUUCCACAAUGGACGAAAGUCUGAUGGAGCAACGCCGCGUGAGUGAAGAAGGGUUUCGGCUCGUAAAACUCUGUUGUUAAAGAAGAACAUAUCUGAGAGUAACUGUUCAGGUAUUGACGGUAUUUAACCAGAAAGCCACGGCUAACUACGUGCCAGCAGCCGCGGUAAUACGUAGGUGGCAAGCGUUGUCCGGAUUUAUUGGGCGUAAAGCGAGCGCAGGCGGUUUUUUAAGUCUGAUGUGAAAGCCUUCGGCUCAACCGAAGAAGUGCAUCGGAAACUGGGAAACUUGAGUGCAGAAGAGGACAGUGGAACUCCAUGUGUAGCGGUGAAAUGCGUAGAUAUAUGGAAGAACACCAGUGGCGAAGGCGGCUGUCUGGUCUGUAACUGACGCUGAGGCUCGAAAGUAUGGGUAGCAAACAGGAUUAGAUACCCUGGUAGUCCAUACCGUAAACGAUGAAUGCUAAGUGUUGGAGGGUUUCCGCCCUUCAGUGCUGCAGCUAACGCAUUAAGCAUUCCGCCUGGGGAGUACGGCCGCAAGGCUGAAACUCAAAGGAAUUGACGGGGGCCCGCACAAGCGGUGGAGCAUGUGGUUUAAUUCGAAGCUACGCGAAGAACCUUACCAGGUCUUGACAUACUAUGCAAAUCUAAGAGAUUAGACGUUCCCUUCGGGGACAUGGAUACAGGUGGUGCAUGGUUGUCGUCAGCUCGUGUCGUGAGAUGUUGGGUUAAGUCCCGCAACGAGCGCAACCCUUAUUAUCAGUUGCCAGCAUUAAGUUGGGCACUCUGGUGAGACUGCCGGUGACAAACCGGAGGAAGGUGGGGAUGACGUCAAAUCAUCAUGCCCCUUAUGACCUGGGCUACACACGUGCUACAAUGGAUGGUACAACGAGUUGCGAACUCGCGAGAGUAAGCUAAUCUCUUAAAGCCAUUCUCAGUUCGGAUUGUAGGCUGCAACUCGCCUACAUGAAGUCGGAAUCGCUAGUAAUCGCGGAUCAGCAUGCCGCGGUGAAUACGUUCCCGGGCCUUGUACACACCGCCCGUCACACCAUGAGAGUUUGUAACACCCAAAGUCGGUGGGGUAACCUUUUAGGAACCAGCCGCCU